GCUUACGGCCACACCGCCUGGUUCACGUCCCGAUCUCGGAAGCUAACAUAGGUUGGGCCUGGUUAGUACUUGGAUGGGAGACCGCCUGGGAAUACCAGGUGCUGUAAGCU
This 110-nucleotide ribosomal RNA is filed under the name Scophthalmus maximus (turbot). The record is from RNAcentral. Lineage: Eukaryota; Metazoa; Chordata; Actinopteri; Pleuronectiformes; Scophthalmidae.